This 499-nucleotide ribosomal RNA is filed under the name uncultured bacterium. RNAcentral's name for it is "bacterial SSU rRNA". It matches the Rfam family "Bacterial small subunit ribosomal RNA", at positions 37 to 524 of the family's 1533-position model. The record is from RNAcentral.
UGGCGGCAUCNUUUCACAUGCAAGUCGGACGGCAGCGAGGGAGUGUUUGCACUUCUGUCGGCGAGUGGCGAACGGGUGAGUAAUGCAUUGGAACGUACCGAGUAGUGGGGGAUAACUGUCCGAAAGGAUAGCUAAUACCGCAUACGACCUGAGGGUGAAAGCGGGGGACUUUUAGGAGCCUCGCGCUAUUUGAGCGGCCAAUGUCUGAUUAGCUAGUUGGUGGGGUAAAGGCCUACCAAGGCAACGAUCAGUAGCGGGUCUGAGAGGAUGAUCCGCCACACUGGGACUGAGACACGGCCCAGACUCCUACGGGAGGCAGCAGUGGGGAAUUUUGGACAAUGGGCGAAAGCCUGAUCCAGCCAUGCCGCAUGUCUGAAGAAGGCCUUCGGGUUGUAAAGGACUUUUGUACGGGAAGAAAAGGCGGAUGCUAAUAUCAUUUGCUGAUGACGGUACCGUAAGAAUAAGCACCGGCUAACUACGUGCCAGCAGCCGCGGUAAU